UGAACCCUUGCCAUGAGUUCCAGCUUCUGUGGAAAGGGUUGCCACCGCCUCCUUGCUGGCUCUCUGCAUCCAGGGGAUCUUCUCCGUCAUCAAACUUCUUCCUCAUUUCUAGAAAGAAAUCAGCGAAUUAACAACCAGGUCCCUGAGUAGACAUCCAACUUGUUGAUUCCCAGUGCCGAAAUCUGAGCAACCCACUGCGACAGCUGAAACAGCAGCGACAAGAUUCCCGGUGCUUUUCUGCCCAGGAGUCUCCAGUCUCGCUUCCUUCUUGAGUCCCUUUUUCAAUCAGCUAAAUGGGCAACUCUGCCUUCGUGGAGCUCCAAACGUUGACCAAAAGGGGAGCCAGUCACGUUUACUCUGUACUGAGAACUGCUGCGCCGGGGUGCCAGCCACAAGAGUUGUGCUGGUGACCCGUGGGGCUCCUCCGCUGGAAAUCUCCUGGUCUGUGAGCAACAAAAAUUCAUCUGAAAGUGUGGUGUCCUCUCGUUCUCUGCGCUUUCACUGGGAACUACAAGCCUGAGCUGCUAGUGAUCGGCCAUCUUGGAUCUCUCUAUGCUUUUGGCGUUUCCAUUGUUAAAUUGCAACAAAAGCAAAAAUUAUGGGAUCUAAUUAAACCAAAGAACUUCUACAAAGCAAAAGAAACCAUCAAUAGAGUAAAGAGACAACCUACAGAAAGGGAGAAAAAUUUUGCAAACUAUGCAGCUAACAAAGGUCUACAAGGAACUUAAAUUUAUAAGAAAAAACCAACCCCAUUAAAAAGUGGGCAAAGGACAUGAACAGACACUUCUCAAGAGAAGACAUACAUGCAGCCAACAAUCAUAGGAAAAAAAGCUCAACAUCACUAAUCAUUAGAGAAAUGCAAAUCAGAAAGUCAAAACAAAAAAAAAAAAAAAAACAGAUGCUGGCAAGGUUGUGGAGAAAAAGGAAUGCUUAUACACUUUUGGUGGAAGUGUAAAUUCAUUCAGCCAUCAUGGAAGACAGUGUGGCAAUUCCUUCAAGACUGAAAUACCAUUCAACCCAGCAAUCCCAUUACUAGGUAUGCACCCAAAUGAAUACAGAUUGCUCUAUUAUAGAGACAAAUGCACAUGUCUGUUUAUUGCAUCUCUAUUCACAACAGCAAAAGACAUGGAAUCAACCUAAACGCCUGUCAAUAGACUAAAGAAAAUGUGGUACAUAUACACAAUGGAAUACUAUGCACCCAUAAAAAAGAACAAGACCAUGUCCUCUGCAGGGGCAUGGAUAGAGCAGGAGGCCAUUAUCCUUAGCAAACUAAUGCAGGAACAGAAAACCAAAUACCACAUCUUCUCAUUUGUAAGUAGGAACGGAUCAGGAAAAACAACUAAUGGGUACUAGACUUAAUACCUGGGUGAUUAAAUAAUCUGUACAAUAAACCCCCGUAGGGAAAAGGGGAGGGUCAGUGGGAGGGGGAGGUGGGGAGGGAUAGCCUAGGGAGAAAUGCCAAAUGUGGGUGAAGGGGAAAAGGAAAGCAAAGCACACUGCCAUGUGUGUACCUACGCAACUGUCUUGCAUGCUCUGCUCAUGUACCCCAAAACCUAAAAUCCAAUAAAAAAUUAAAAAAAAAAAAAAAAAAUGACUUCCCAAAAAAAAACCCCCGUAAUACACAUUUACCUAUGUAACAAACCUGCACAUGUACCACUGAACUUAAAAAAAUACUCAGCAUAUAGCUAGGUUUUUUUGAUAAAUGGGAAAUAGAGAAUGCAGAAAAAAUGUAUUUACAGAAAUAAUACCAAGUCCCACUUUGCUCUCUCACAGUAAUUUGUCCUUUAGGAGCACAAAGAUACUUACAAGCCAGUUGACUUCAUUCUGGGACGUUAAUCUGAAGCCACACAUUAGGAAGAGGAAACCCAUCAGUAAAAUGGAGGGUUCUUAUGCUGAGGGUUAAUAACUAAGCAGGUAUUAUAGUUGAUCUGAAACUCAGCUUUGUUUUAUAAAAGCUAAUGCACUUAGACUCAGGCCCCAUCCUUGGUAUCUCACAGGCAAAAUUUAUCUAGGGUGUUGGCGCUUCUUAGAAUAGUAGUGAACUCUGCAUAGUGAUGGGGGUGAUAAUGGCUCUAGAGAAAGGAUGCUAUGAAUGGAAAGGGAAGUGAACUCAGCUAUAUCCACAUCAUGUAAUCAGUCAAAAAUUCAAUGGAGUGGUCUGCAUACAUCUCAAAGAAUGAGGUAACUAUUUUUCAAUGAGAAAAAACUAUAGCCAAGAUUUAUUUCAUGUGAUUCUACUGUCAUAAAUAUGACACAUGUGUUUUGAUAUGUGUACAGUAGAAAAACCAAAGUCUUUAAAAGAAAAGACAGUUCAUCCUGAACAUAAGAACAGGAAGUAAAAGGACCUGCAGCUCUUUCCUACAUGCAUGUCUCUGUGCAGGGACACCCAACCCCUUGGUUAGCGCCCUGCUACCUUAAAGCUUAGACCAAGAGUCCCCAUCCCAUAAGAAGAUCCUGACUCCCACUCUGAUACACUACUACACCUGUGCACUGCACAAACUAAGAGGACUGAACUGCUCAAGGCAGGUUGUAGGCAUUCAAUAUAUGCUGAGUAACAGGACAGUAUGUGUCCUACACUACUUGAUAAGGGAAGUACAUUUCUGUCUCCUUUGCUGGUUAUAAAUUACUUGAAAAUAAAGGAUUAUUUACCUUCAAUUCCAUUCCAUAAGUAGGUGCUCAAGAAAAAGAUUUGACAAAUAAACAUAACAUUUGCAUCUCUUUUUGUUUCAUUUGUCUGGCUCAGAUCACAGCUUCUGCUGCCACUGACAUGGAAUGCCACAAAAAAGCACUAAGUGUCAGCUUAACAUGAAAUUCCCUCUGGCAACAGCAGAGCAUUGUCCAGUAUUACCUCAUUGCUUGGCCUGUCUCCCUGUUACGAAAUUUCCAGGCCAAAUUAUUGUACGGCAAAAGAACACAUGUGGCCAGGUACCAAGGCUCACACCUGUCAUCUCAGGACUUUGGGAGGCUGAGCUGGGAAGAUCACUUGAGCCUAGGAGUUAAAGACCAGCCUGGACAACAUAGCGAGACCCCACUUCUACAAAAAGCAAAUAUUUGGAAAAAGAACACACACAUAAACCAGUAAAUCUAACAUUCAUCUGAUUUAGGCCAAGAUUCCUGGUGAACACACACGGGGUGAAGCAGGCCCUAGGCCAGACAUCUGCUCUUCUACGCUGUGCAAUCCAGUCUGGCAAGCUGGUUUCCUUAUCAAGCUCCUGUGAGCUUGGUAGAGAGAAUUCAUCACUGACCUCUGAGGUUAGAAGGAACCUGAGAUACUGUUACCCUCCAUGUUGAAAAAACUGAGACCAAAAAGUUCUGAGAACUUGUUUGAGUAGAAAAAAGAUUCAAAGUCAAGCCCUCUGAUUCCACGUUUGAUGGCUUUCCACUGUACCCUGCAAUGAGGGGGUCCCCAGCAUAAGAGGGCUGGAUAAGGGCAGGCAUAAAACUACAAUUCUGGAACUGGGCUCAGGACCAGUCACUGCCUACACAGGCCCACAUGGGGAACGCACCACGUGUUCCACCCUCACUUCUAAUACCACCUCUAGGAAGAGUGAAAGGAAUAAAGGCCAAUAAUACCUGGAUCAGAGAGGACUUCUUUAGCAGCUGCUAUAUCAAUGAACUUUUUCUCAGCUUUUUUCUUUUCUUCCUCAUUCUGGAAGUUAUCUGGGUGCCACUGCAGUGCCAGUUUUCGGUAUGCUUUAAUGAUUUCUUGCUUUUUGGCAUUUCUGAGGGGUGGUAAAAUAAAUAAUCAUUAGUGGAGACAUGUCUAACAUACUAUCAUAAAAAUCAGAAUUAAGAUCCUAUUGCCAAUAAACAAACUGGUUUUGUAAAAUAGUUCCAAUGGUAUCACAGGCCAAGGAUCUGCACACACAGUUCUGGAUGCUCAUUAAAGCUGACAUCAGCCUUGGGUAUCGCUCACUAAGAUUACUAGGAAUAAAGCACUCCUGAUCUCUAGAAUUUUCCCUUUUUUAAAAAAGGUACAUCAAUGAAUUGUUUAACUUUCUGAAUUUCCAAGCUACAAUUCUCGGCAUUAAAAAGAUUAUUUGACUCUGAACCCCACUUUCAAUUAUGUUUCUACAUUAGCUUACUUAAUAGUAAGCACAGAUAUCCCGAAUUUUGAUUGAAAGAUUGCUGUUACAAUCUUAGCUAACAACUGGGAGGUAUAUCAUUUACUUAAUAUGUAUUUUUAUAUAAGGUAAAUCUUAAUUUCAAACUUAAUUCUGAAAGCACUACUUUAUGUUUAGGCCUAGAGAAGGCAUUUUCUUUCCCCAUUCCCUCUCCUCCUCCAUCCUCACCAAAAGAAAGCUCACUCCUACCCCUUUACCCUUCUUUAAAAAAUCUAGGCCUGGGACCCAUUCAUGCUACAGUGUCAUAUCUUUGUUGCCAACUACUAAUUCUCUGUUGUUGCAUUAUUGGUGUCUAUCAAAGAAGCCUGCCUAUAACACACUCAGAAUAGCUCUGUAAUGUUAAGAUUGUUAGGGUUUAAUCCAUAUGACUGAAAUUAUAUAACAAUGAAUCAGAGGGGAAAAAAGCAAUGAUUACCUUUGAAACAGUUGAUUAAAAAUAGCAAAGUAAAUUUUAAAUUAAUAAUUCACCUUUUUACUCCCAAGAUUUUAUAAUAAUCUCGUUUCUGCGACUGUUUCAAUAAUCUUUGUGCUUUCUCUAGACCUUCUCGAAUCUGCUGAUCGUUUUCAUUGUGUUCCUGAGCAGUUUCAUAAUCCUGAAUAGCUGUCAAAAUAUGUUUAAGAUAAUACUGUUAAGGCAAAUUAUCAUUUGUUGCCUUUUCUUAUCCUGUAAAAUUGAUGCUAAAGUUAUCAUCCCCCAACCCUUUUACUCUUUGGCCAUUACUGCCAAAAACCUUAAAUGAUAUCCCCUUAGUAACUUUGAUUAAAAAAAAAAAUAUUUAAAAGAGGCUGGGUGCAGGGGCUCGUGCCUAUAAUCCCAGCAUUUUGAGAGGCUGAGGUGGGUGGAUCACGAGGUCAGGAGUUCAAGACCAGCCUGGCCAACAUAGCAAAACCCGUCUCUACUGAAAACAAAAACAAAAACAAAAAAACAUUAGCCAGGCUUGGUGGUGCAUGCCUGUAGUCCCAGCUACUCCAGAGGCUACGGCAAUAGAAUCACUUGAACCCGGGGGCGGAAGUUGCACUCCAGACUGGGUGACAGAGUGAAACUCCCAUCUCAAAAAAACCAAAAAAGUUUAAAAGGCAUAAUAAGAUGGAGUUUAGGUAGUUUAUUAUUCUCAUUCAACAAAAUGUACUGCUGUUUUCCUGCCCACCCUCCUGCAUUAUCUCCCCAUACCCUUGGGGUAAAUAUGUUAAUAUCAGCAAUUUAUCCAGAACAAUUUUACCACCACUAAGACUGAAGUGAUUGUUGCACAGGAAAGAAAGACAGUGAUAAAGAAAAUGUCCUGGUCAGGUAUGGACUGACAACAGUGCAGAACAAUUAGAUGUUUAGAAAUGGAGCAGGAGGUGGGUUUGGCCAAUGGGAAGCUAGAAAAGAAAAAUGUAUAGAAGGAAAGGAACAGAAGGAACUGUCCACAGUCCAAAUGACUGAGUAACCCACAGGCUUUAAUAUUACUGCAAACCUAAGUGCCAAUCAAAAUGCAAAACACAUACAGUCCCAGUACAGGGAGUCUGGUGACUAUCCACAUUACAUCUUUCAUUUUAUUUAUUUAUUUUUUUAAUUUUUAAGAGACAGGAUCUCUAUCACUUAGGCUCACUACAGCCUCAACCUCCCAGGCACAAGCCAUACUUCUGUCUCAGGCCCAUGAAGUAGCUGGCUAAAGCACGCACCACUACGCCCAGCUAAUACACAGCAUUUUAAAUACUUAGAAAAUACAAGGCACCUGGGUAUCUAAGAUCAUGUAGAAGAGAGUCAACGCAGCAGGCCUGAGACUGCUAUCCUUACAAAAGCCUGCUGACAAGGUUGGCUUACUGCUGAUGGCUGGGAAGCCGGAUUUCAGGAGUGUUCCCAACAUUCCAUGCUAAGAAUGACUCAUGCCUAAACUGUUUGUAUGAAAAAUAUAGAUUAUGCUAAACAUCUUUCCUUCUGGGGUCUGGAAUUUUGGUGCAGGCCAGACAGAAGGUGUCUAGUGACUAGUUCCCAACAAAAACUCUGGGGGUAGUCCUCUAACGAGCUUCCCUGGUAGACAACAUUGCAUACUUUGUAGAGUUUCUCAGUGCUGCGAAAAUUAAGCUUGUCUUUUGUGACAUCACAGGGAGAGGAGUCCUGCAGUCUUCUGCCUGCUUUCCUCCAGAUUUUCCCUCUUGCACCUUUUCCCUGUGCCGACUUCACCUUUUCACUGGAAUGAGAACCCUGAGUACAACUAUAUGCUGAGUCCUGUGUGUCUUCUUGCCAGAUCACCAAAUCUGGGGAUAGUCUAGGGAAGCCCCCACUCAAAUUUUUCUCAAUGUUCUCCCUGGAUAGAUAAUUCUAAUAAUAGAUUGCUGGGUUCAAACUCUAGUUUUUAUGAAAAUGCAUUUCACUGGGGGAAAAGACAUCUGAUCACUGGCACUUUGGACAGAUUAAAAUGAGAAAGAUAUUAGAGUAAGACUGAGACAGCCAAAUGCUGCAAAGGAGUUCCCGGAAAAACCACAACAGGCCUGUGCACUGGGAGGAGCGUGCACUGGGGUGGAGCCUCAGGAAGUUCCUGUGGCCCUUGGCAAUGGAGAGGAGCCUGGCCCCUCCUCUUACUGCAUGGAACCUGGGAUGCAAUCUGCGAGGUGGGAAGCACACUAGCAGGGACUCUGGCCAUGCCGAGGCUCCAUUUCCCUUUCUUUCUUUUCACCUGAUAAACCCUUACCUGUUCAAACUGUCUGUGAGCCUAAUUUUUCGUGGCUAUGUGACAAGGAACCCGUCUUUAGCUGAACUAAGGAAAAGAGGCCUACGACAAGACUAACAAAUUUAGACAGGCUACACUGCAUAGAAAAACGCACCACCACCACCACCACCUUUGCCCUGUGGCACUGGGGAAGGGGGGACCCUUUGAUCUUUUAUCCUAACAGUGAGUUCUCACAUCAGUGCAUCAACAUUAAAUUAACUGUUACUGUGGCCCAACCCCACAGGCACAUCAAAAACUUCUCCCAAUUUAGUAUAAAAACAAAACCAUCAUAAAUAGUAGUAAGGUUUAACUUUACAAUUAACACCCACAGCAUAACACACAACUUCAUAAGAAAAUAUACCUUGAAGGAAUACAAUAGGAAAAUGUUUCAAUACAUACAAUUUUGCUACUUGUGUAGACUCUACAUUUAAAACAUGUUUUCAUUUUUACAUGUUCAGGUUAUCUCCCCAAAGCAGUCUUUUGUAUCAUAAUUGUAUUAGAAUUUAAGGUGAAUACAUUUUUCCUAAUGUAAGACAAAAAUGUGAAAUUAUAGGUUGCUUCCUAUAUUCACAUAAUUGCAGAUAACCAUUAGAAACUUAAGUAUGGAUGACAUAAGACUCCCCACUGACAUAACUAGAAAAACCAUUUUAAAUUAUAUUUUCUCACAUUCUACACACUAAAAGAAUCUUAAAAAAACAAAAACCCAACAGACAAAAACAAGCAAUGGGGUUGGAAAAACUGGCCAGCCAUAUGCAGAAAAGUGAAACUAGAUGUCUUCCUUGCACAUUAUACAAAAAUUAACUCAAGAUGGAUUAAAGACUUAAACAUAAAACCUAAAACCAUAAAAACCCUAGAAGAAAACCUAGGCAAUAUCAUUCAGGACAUAGGCAUGGGCAAAGAUUUCAUGACUAAAACACCAAAAGCAAUGGCAACAAAAGCCAAAAUUGACAAAUGGGAUCUAAUUAAACUAAAGAGCUUCUGCACAGCAAAAGAAACUAUCAUCAGAUGAACAGGCAACCUACAGAAUGGGGGGAAAUUUCUGCAAUCUAUCCAUCUGACAAAGGGCUAAUAUCCAGAAUAUACAAGGAAUUUAAAUUUAUAAGAAAAAAAAACCCCAUCCAAAAGUGGGUAAAGGAUAUGAACAGACACUUCUCAAAAGAAGACAUUUAUGCAGCCAAGAAACACACAAAAAAGCUCAUCAUCACUAGUCAUUAGAGAAAUGCAAAUCAAAGCCACAAUGAGAUACCAUCUCAUGCCAGUUAGAAUGGCAAUCACUAAAAAGUCAGGAAACAACAGAUGCUGGAGAGGAUGUGGAGAAAUAGGAAUGCUUUUACACUGUUGGUGGGAGUAUAAAUUAGUUAAACCAUUGUGGAAGACAGUAUGGUGAUUCCUCAGGGAUCUAGAACCAGAAAUACCAUUUGACCCAGCAAUCCUAUUACUGGGUGUAUACCCAAAGAUUAUCAAUCACUCUACUACAAAGACACGUGCACAUGUAUGUUUAUUGCAGCACUGUUCACAAUAGCAAAGACCUGGAACGAACUCAAAGGCCCAUCAAUGACAGACUGAAUAAAGAUAGAUAAAGAAAAUAUGGCACAUAUAUACCAUAGAAUACACAGCCAUAAAAAAAGUGAAUUCAUAUCCUUUGCAGGGACAUGGAUGAAGCUGGAAACCAUCAUUCUCAGCAAACUAACACAAGAACAGAAAACCAAACACCACAUGUUCACUCCUAAGUGGGAGGUGAACAAUGAGAACACAUGGACACAGGCAGGGGAACAUCACACACUGAGGCCUGUCAGGCAGGGGAACAUCACACACUGAGGCUAGAGGAGGGAUAGCACUGGAGAAACACCUAAUGUAGAUGAGUUGAUGGGUGCAGCAAACCACCAUGGCACAUGUAUACUUAUAUAACAAACUUGCAUGUUCUGCACAUAUAUCCCAGAACUUAAAGUAUUUAAAAAAAAACACACACACCCAAUAAUGUUGAUCCCAUUACCAUAACUAAACAGCUAUGAAAGGUAGAAUAAGCCAGACACAUGUCAGCCAUGGAUAAAGAAUACCAUGCUACAUAUUAACCAAUUCAUUUUCUAACCUCCGAAUCUAAAAAAUUUUAUCUAUCCCAAAUUAUUUUUCUCUAUAUCCCCUUCACAUUCUUAAGGAGCAAUGCAAAUCACCAGCUAAGGAUGGGAGACGUAUGCACACACAUUUGUCCACCCUCCUUCCCACCAAAAUGACGAAAAGUAAUAUAACCAUAGCAGCACUGAGGACAACAGCAGACCAGCAACUUUGAUAAAUUUCUGGAAGAUAGGAAGUGGGAGCACAUUAGUAAUAAACCUAAGUAGAGAGAACCACAGUGCACGCACACACCAUAAGAGGUCCUAGCAGAUCUGGAAGCCAUUAUUUUUGGCAGAGGACCCUCAGUUUGGCAAGCAGAAGUAGCUAUAAGGCAGCUGUCAGGAUAGUCCAUGAGAUGACUAUGGGAUGGCUGGGCAGGCUCUGGCCCCUACAUGUGGAGCCACUGGCUGUAGCAUUAACUCCCACUGAGGUCCAAGAACCAGGCUAUAAGCAGAAGGAAAAAUGUGCCUGAGGAGGGCCCCGUAGGACACUCAAGACCUCUACAACAAACUGGGAACAAACGAACAAAAAGCAGUCCCACCCAGAAGUUAAAAAGACCAUUGGCUCAAAAAGCAAAGCCCAAACAGAACAUUUUCACAGAGAAAGCUGUCACUAACCUACCUCCCUGUAAAGCAGCAGUCUUUCCAGAGAUUUUUGCAAACUUUUACACCACAGGUGAUUCCUAAACAAUUGCACCGAAUCCUUACCCUAAUUGUUUGCUAUAUAUAAAAGUCAGUUAAACAUCGUUUUUCCUCCAAAUUUCUGAGAAGCUGCAAUACUGCCUUCUGCCAUCAGACACACUCAUACCACUUUUUGAGGAUGCACUUUCAGCAAAAUAAAAACAAGAAUCCAAGAAAAAUGAAGACAUGAUUAAAUUUUUAAAAAGAAGACAGAAAAACCCAGAAAGACAGUGAAAGGAGUUCUGGGCAAAAGAUGUGUGGCAGGCCAGGCACAGCCAUGAGUUAUGGGGCUAAAGAAUAUCUUCACAGAGAAAAGAAAAAAAAGGGUUAAAAAAAAAAAAAAAAAAACUCAGAGUAUCUUCACAGAGAAAAGAAAAAAAGGUUAAAAAAAAAAAACCCCAUAAAGAGUAUCUUCACAGAGAGCAGAUCUCAUUCACACACAGUCAUUAAAGCCUCAAGAUGUUUCUGGGAAGUCAGAGGCAUAGGUUUCUUCUGGCAAAGAAACAGUAACUCCACCUUGGGGUGAAGCUUACUAAAAAAUCCUGUAUCUGACACUGGUUGGUAAAUGAUUACAUCUCCUUCUCUAAGGAUUCAAACACAUGACUUGAUCCUGAAGCUAUAUAUUCAUAAUAUAUUAGUCUACUAAAUGGCUUUCGUUUCCUUACUAUCCGCAGUUAUAGAGGAAAGAAUCUAAAUACUACAAACAUUAUAAAAGUAUAUUAACACAUACUUAACAUGUAGUUGAAAGAUAAGAUGGAAAUAAACUAAUUUCCUUAUUAUCAGUAGUAUACAAUCAAGAGAUGCUCUCUAAAAGUGACAGCAAGAAAGAGACUUGGGUAUAUUAUAACUUAUCUAUAUCACGUUAAAGCUGUAAAUAUAAUCAAAAGAUUAAAUACUAAAAUUGAAGGUGAGAAAGAACAGAAGGAACUAGUAAGGUCUACUCAGUUCUUCCUCUUCUAUAGCAGGUAGACAAAGGAAGCUGCCUAAACUUGAUAAAUCGAGAACUAGAGGAAGACAUACUUUAAUUUCAAUUACAGUGGUAACUAAUAAUUAGAAACUAUUACAUUAAUACUAGAAAUUAUUUUAAAAGUGGUUACAGUUGGGUGCAGGACAUGCACCUGCAGUCCCAGCUACUUGGGAGGCUGCGGCAGGAGGACUGCUUGAGGCCAGGGGUUUAAGACUACAAUGCACUGUAAUUACACCUGUGAAUAACCACUGCACUCCAGGAGGGACACUAGAAAUAUUCAAACAAUCUAAAUGACAACAGAAAGAGAGGAACAAAAAAUUCAAAAGCAAAAGGACAAAAAGAAAACAAUAGUAAAACGGCAGACCUACAUACAAGUAUAUCAGCAAUCACAAUACUCAUCAAGUAAACACUCCAAAGGACAGAGAUUACAAUUAUCAAAACUGAUAAAAACAACAAGUUCCAACUAUAUGAUGUCUACAAGAGACACACAGAUAAAGGCACAAAGACAUUGAAAGUAAAUAAAUGAAGACAGAUACACCAUGCAAGCAAUAGAUCAAGAAGGCAGAGGUGAUGCUAUUAAUAUCAUAUACAACUUCAAGAAAGAGUAUUGCCAGUGAUAGCAGGAAGACUGAGUAACAGUAAAUGUAAAAAUUCAUCAGGAGAACACUUGACAGUCAUAAAUAUACAGGCUGCUAAUAGCAGAGCUUCAAAACGCAUAAAGAAAAUAUUGACGAUAUCAAAGAGAGAGACAGGAGAGUUCACAAUUUCCACAACAGACAAUCAAAGAUCUUAACUCUCCCCUCAUACCUGAUAGAAAAAUUAACAGAAAUAUCACGCCCAACAAUUGUAGGAUACGCCUUUUUUUCAAGUGUACAUAGAAUAUUAAUCAAAUUGGAUAUCAUGCUGGACCACAAAACAAGCCUAAAUAAAUUUAAAGGAAGGAAAUCACACCUAGUAUGUUCUUUGACCACAGUGGAAUUAAAAUCAAAAUAAAUAAUAAAGUACCUAGGAAACCAUCAAGUAUUUGAAAAUUAGAACACAUAUACAUAAUCAGUGCCUCACAGAAGUCAGAAGGGAAAUUAGAAUACACUUCAAGCCAAGUUAGAAUGAAAGCAAGACAAAAUGCGAAAGGUGCAACUUUAAAUGCUUAUAUUUAAAAAAGGAAAGGCCUAAAAUAAAUGAACAUUCAACCUUAAGAAGCUAGCAACAGCACAAAGUAUAACCAAAGUCAGUCUAAGGAACUGAAGAGCAGAAAUCAAUAAAAUAAUAAAGAAAAACCAUAGAAAUUAUUAACAAAUUCCAAAGUCGGUUCCUUAAAAAGACCAAAAAAACUGACCAAACUCUGUCUACAAUGAUCAACAGGAAAAAAAAGAAAACACAAAUUAUUAAUAUUAGAAACAAAGCAGGAAUCAUCUUACAGACUUUUAGAAAUUUAGACAUUAAAGAAUAAUAUUACGAACCUCAUGCUGAAAAAUUCAGCAAUGUCAAGAAAUGGAAACAUUCCUUCACAGAGUAACUUAUAAAAACUAUCACAGAUCAAACAGAAAAUAUUAAUAACCUUAUACUGAAUAAAAAAAACUAAGGCCAGGUGCAGUGACUAACACCUGUAGUCCCAGCACUCUGGGAGGCCAAGGUGGGCAGAUCACUUGAUCCCAGGAGUUCAAGACUAGCUUGGGUAGCAUGGCAAAACACCAUCUCUACAAAAAAUACAAAAACCAGCCAGGUGUGGCAGCAUGCACCUGUAGUCCCAGCCACUUGGGAGGCUGAGAUAGGAGGAUCACUUGAGCCUGGGAGGUCAAGGCUGCAGUAAAUCAUAAUUGUGCCACUGCAUUCCAGCCUGAGUGACACAGCAAGACCUUGUCUCAAAAAAAACAAAAACAAACAAAUACUAAAACUAAAUUUGUCAUCAAAAACAUCCUAUUAAAAAAAAACCCAACCUGUGCUAUACUUUAUCAAUAGUUAAGAAAUGUCACCAACUCUAUUCAAAGCACUGGAGUAGGCAGACACAAAUAAUGGCCUUUGUUCAUAUAGUCUGUUUCUAUUUAAAAUUAUGAAAAAUCUUGAGUUUUUUUUCCCUUUCUUAAAGAAGCCUCUUCAUUACUUGAGAUCACACUCAUUAGUCAUAGGAAAUUACAGUCUUGACAAUUAACAAAAAGCCAAAAUGAAAAUGUAUCUGACUGACUUCCCCUAUCCAAACCUACCCUCUGCCGUAAGGCAAAUGUGUUUGUCACUGUUGGGAGAGGCAAAGGACCCCUCCACAGCCUUCUAAGCUUCUGACCCAGCUAUGCAUCUGCAGCGAACUUCUUGAUCUUUUUUCCUUAGCAUUUUUUUACUUCCAACACUUUAAGUUUUUCAUAAUUUGGAAAUCUGUCUUUUGUCUUUUUCUGCUGAAUAAUAUUCCUUGACUAUUGUAACCAUUUCCUACUUCCUCACCUACAUAUUAUACUCAUGGGUUCACAGAGUUGGCACCAUAGGGAGUACAAUGUUUUACCCAACUGAUAUGGGCAGCAAAUACGCUAAUCCCAACCUAGCAGGUAGUAGUUUUCCUUGUAACCACACACUUUUCAAAUGAAAUGAGAACUCUGCAGCUGUGGCUAAGAGUUGAAUAAAAGUGCGAGUGUGAAUAAAAACUGCAAGCAUGACUGUAAAGUCAGUUCAGGAAAUGUACAACCAAAGGCUUUCAUCAGUCUACAUGCCAUAUCCCACUAAUCGUCUUUGUAAAGGACUAGCCAUUUAUUCUAACCACCCGCUUCCAACUAAUUAGCUGAGCUAAGGUAGAUGUACUUAUUUCAAGAGUUAAAAGUUUCAGAAGCAUCUGCUUUAUAGUUUCUGAUUACAUGUGUCUGUGGUUAUUAUGAUGGUGUAUAAAGCAUGUCAAUAUCUAAGCAGCCUCCAACUUAUAAAGUCACAUUUAGUUAUGAUCCUAAAUACAAUCAGCAUCUUCCAACAAAGACCAAUCUCUUCCUCUUCUCCUCCCCAUAAACAGAAGCCAGGAAUCCCUGGUUAACAGCCUUGAAAAAAAGCAUCACCCAUGAGAAAUGUGAUCUGUUAGAAGGAAUGGUCUCCUUUAUGCCCAGGAGGCAGGCCUGUUGCCCCAAUACCUCCCUCGUAGGCUGCCUGACCUGAUGGCCUAAGUACCUGCUUUAAGUUCCACUACUCAGACUCCUUUGGGUUAAAAAUGCUUAUCUCAUAAGGAAUAGAAACCAACCAGUGUUUUUAACAAGUAUCUUAAAUUUGGCCACUCUUAUUAAAACACAGAUGUGUUGCGGGCUAAGCCUGCUGAUGUACAGAGGUGGUAUGAUUUUUUUUUUUUUUUGAAAUGGAGUUUCACUUUUGUUGCCCAGGCUGGAAGGCAGUGGUGUAAUCUCGGCUCACUGCAACUUCUGCCUCUCAGGUUCAAGUGAUUCUCCUGCCUCAGCAUCCCGAGUAGCUGCAACUACAGGUGCGCGCCACCAUGCCUGGCUAACUUUUGUAUUUUUAGUAGAGCUGGGGUUUCACCAAGUUGGCCAGGCUGGUCUUGAACUCCUUACCUCAGGUGAUCCACCCACCUCGGCUUCCCAAAGUGCUGGGAUUACAGGCGUGAGCCACUGUGCCCGGCCAGUAUGAAUUUUGAACACAGAAUACUUCUGCAGGAUAGGGCGGGCCUAGGUAGUAUGACCAGGUGGAUGGAGUCCUAGGAUAAGCAAGAAGGCACAAGAAUCUGCAAAAUGGACAACAUCCUAGCGAAUCAAAAGAUAAACUUUACCUCUUUCACAAUUUUGCCCAGGCCAGUCUUCAUCCAGAGAAAGCACUCUACUUGGCCCUAUUCACAGACUUCUGGACAUUACUAGUAACAAUAACAGUUGUAUCAAAUGGGGUUCAUGCAGCAGUCGGUCACACGUUAGCUCAAGAAGCUAGCUAGCUAGCCCACACAAUACUGUUUGUACAGAAAAGUCAAUGCAAGUUCCAUACAACCUGAAAAUAAGUGUAGUGGAAACCACUGAUUUAGAUGUUUCCUAGCAGCAUGGUGCUAAGCAUUUUCUGAGCAUCAUCUUACUUAAUAGCCACAACAAUUCUAGGAGGUAAGUACUAUUCUUAUUCCUAUUUUAUUUUACAGAUAAGCAGAGUAAGAAGUAACAAAUAACUUGAUUGAAACCAUAUAGCAAAAUUAAACCGUAUACUCCAAAGAAAAUAUACAGAUGGCAAACAAGCAUAUGAAAAGAUGCUCAACAUCACUAAUCAUUAGGGAAAUACAAAUCAAAACCAAAACCAGUUAUCACUUAUACCCAUUAAGAAGGCUACUAUCAAAAAAUCAGAAAAUCUAAAGUGUUGACCAGCCAAGUAUGGUAGCUCACACCUGUGAUCCCAGCACUUUGGGAGCCUGAGGCAAGUGGAUCAUUUGAGGUCAGGAGUUUGAGAUGAGCCUGACCAACAUAGUGAAACCCGUCUCUACUAAAACUACAAAAAAAAAAAAAAAAAUAAGCAGCGUUUGGAGGCACACACCUGUAAUCCCAGCUACUCAGGAGGCUGAGACGGGAGAAUCACCUGAACCCAGGAGGCACAGGUUGCAGUGGGCCGAUAUCACACCACUGCACUCCAGCCUGGGCGACACAGCAAGACUCUGUCUCAAAAAAAAAAAGUGUUGAUGAGGAUGUGGAAGAAUUAGAAUCUUUAUGCACUGCUGGUAGAAUUGUAAAAUGGUGUAACCAUGACAGAAACCAGUAUGGAGGUUCCUCAAAAAAUUAAAAAUAGAACUACCAUAUGAUUUUCCAAUCCCACUUCUAGGUAUAUAUACAAGACUGAAAGCAGUUCCUCAAGGAAAUAUUUGCAUACCCAUAUCCAUAGCAACGCCACUCCAAAAGCCAAAAGGCAAAAGCAGCACAAAUGUUCAUCAGUGGAUGAAUAAACAAAAUGUGGGAUAUCUAUACGAUGGAAUAUUAUUCAGCCUUAAAAGUAAAAGAAAUCCUGUCACAUGCUACAACAUGGAUGAACCUUGAGGAUACUAUGCUAAGUGAAAUAUGAUGAGCACAACAAGACAAAUACUAUAUGAUUCCAAUUAUAUGAAGAUCUAGAAUAGUCAAAUACAUAGUGACAGAAAGUAGAACAGUGAUUCCCAGGGGCUGAAGCAGAGGUAAAGGGGAGCUGCUGUUUAAUGGGUACAGAUAUCAGAUUUGCAAGAUGAAAAGUUCUGAAGAUCUUGUUCACAGCAAUAUGAGCAUAUUUAAUUCUACUAAAUUAUAUGCAUAAAAAUUGUUAAGAUGGUAACUUUUAUAUUGUAUAUUUUACCACAAUUAAAAAUAUAGAAUAACUGGCCGGGCGUGAUGGUUCAUGUCUGUAAUCCCAGCACUUUGGGAGGCCAAGUCGGGCAGAUCAGGAGGUCAGGAGUUCAAGACCAGCCUGGCCAACAUGGUGAAACCCCACCUCUACUAAAAAUACAAAAAUUAGCUGGGCAUGGUGGUGUGUUCCAGUAAUCCCAGCUACUCAGAAGGCUGAGGCAGGAGAAUUGCUUGAAUCAAGACCCAGGAGACGGAGGUUGCAGUGAGUCAAGAUUUUACCACUGCAUUCCAGCCUGGGCUACAGAGUAAGACUCCGUCUCAAAAAAAGGAAAGAAAAAAAGAAUUACUGCACAAAGCCAGCCAGACUCAAAGGUGGGACUAAUUCUAAAUUCCAUACUCUUUCCACUAUGACUUUAUUGUAUAAUAAAUAAAUAAAUUAUCUUCAUUCAUUACGCAAAGAUGAGUGCCAGCACAAGCACUAGGAAUGCAUCAGUUAAUAAAAGAGUCACAGGUCUCUGCCCUCACACAGUAUAAGUCCUAGCAAAUAUAACUGAUCAUUUCACAAGGACACCUGAAUUAUCCCUAUGUUCAAAAAACUUUGCCAAGAUUUUAGUAUUGCUUCAAUGUUCAGUUUGUUCCUCUCAAAAGCUAUUAAAACAGAGACAUGUAGAGAACUGAAGCGUUUCCCUUGAUUUUUCAAGAUCUCAGAGGCGUCCUCAAAUAACAGUCUUACUUUACUUGCAUUCUAGUGAGUGAAAUCCCCUGAUAUGUUUCCUGGUAAUUCUGGCUCAAGCUCCAUAUUAAUAAAUGCCCAUGUUCCAUUUUUCACUAACCUAAACCUCUUCUUUAUUCAUUAUGUACUUGCCAUCAUUUUAAAUUGCUUAUUUUAAAAAGGUAAAACGAGAAAGCAGAGGAAUAUGGAAAGCAUAUUUCUAAUUCAAGAUUUCAACUAAAGACAUAGUUAUUUAGCUUAGUUAAGUAAGAUUAUUAUUAAUUCACAUCAUUUACUAAACCGCUGAUUCAAAUCCAAACAAGUCAGGUAAUACCUGGCAGUUUCAGUUAUACAGACUCUUUUCCUUUCUUUCUUUCUUUUGCAAAUUUAGAGAACUGGCAACAAUUCUCUCUCUCUUUAAUAAAUUCCUAUUCGAAAUAAUUUUUUCAAGGAACCAACAGACUUCAAAGACAGAUCACUUGGGCGGGGCAUGGUGGCCCUCGCCUGUAAUCCCAGCACUUGGGGAGGCCAAGGAAGGCAGAUCACCUGAGGUCAGGAGUUUGGGGCCAGCCUGGCCAACAUGAUGAAACCGUCUCUACUAAAAGCACAAAAAUAAGUCGGGCAUGGUGGCACAAGCCUGUAAUCCCAGCUACUCAGGAGGCUAAGGCAAAAGAAUUGCUUGAACCUGGGAGGUGAAGGUUACAGUGAGCCAAGAUUGCGCCACUGUACUCCAGCCUGAGCAAGACUCCGUCUCCAAAAAAAAUUAAAAACCCAGAAACAGAUGAAUUAUGUUAAAUUAGCACUAGGCAUUUUUUUCUUCAAAAAUUAAGCCAUCAAGUUUCCCCAAAAAAGCAAGUCAGUUUAACAUUCAAGUUACAAAAGCAUCUUUCAAAUUAUAGUUAGCAUUGUACAAGAUUUAGCCCUUUUUUUUUUAACAGCUAAGCUCUUUAUAUUCUUUUGUAGCUUCUCUAAUUUCACAGUCAGAGCUAGGGUUUACAUACAGAUGACAAAAGUACCUUUGAUAAAGAGUUCCAUAAACUAACAGGAAUACAAAAUCCUACAGGAAAACCAUCUCACCAAGUAGACACAGUAGCUCAAAAAAGAGAACAAGUCUGCUAAAGGCACCUUCUAUGUGGACUAUAUGCCUUAUUGAAGCAUGCUUAUGAAUAUUAAAACAUCAUUUUGACUGCAUUCAUUCCAAGCCUCUUCAGAGACCUCAAGGUCUGACUGCCCCACAAGAUGUCCCACAAAUAGUAGUGACCAGGUUGUCAUCAUUCCCUGGAAACUGCUUAGGAGUAAGAUUCUUUUCUAAUUGAGGAAGGCAGGGAAAAAGAAAUUGACCAGUUGUACCUUAAAAAGAGUAUCACAAACCAAAUGUUAUUCAAACUCUUCAUUUAACUGUAAGAGAAAAUUACUGUUUUUAAUUUAAAAUGCUUUACCUAGAUUUGAAACAAAAUAUUUGCACUAAGGGCUUAUAAGGCUCAUUUGUUUUUGAAAAAACUGUCUCAUUUAAAUGUUCAUAACUCAGCAACACAUGAAAAAAGGUACAAAACUAUAUAUAUAUAUAUAUAUAUAUAUAUAUAUAUAUGGAUUCUAUUUUUCAAAAACUGUAUAUUACUAUAUAUGCCUUAGUUAUCUUCCAAAAACAGGACACUGCUUUUAUUCAAGGUCCUCACAACAUCUAGCAGGAAUUUCUUGUUACUUCAUUUGGCUUAAACAAAAUAGGGUAGCAGCUAUCCUAUGUUACUAAAUAGCUUGGAGUCACAGAGGGCCAUUUCAUAUUAGGGACAUAACAUAUAUGUAUGCUUUCUGUAUAUAUGCUUUAUACAUACCAAGUAUAUAUAGAGAGAAUAUGUAUACGUGCCUAAAAUAAAACACAGAUGAAGGAUUUACCUUCAUCGUACAUUUCCUCUAUCAAAUAGGCCUCUGCUCGAUCUUUCAGGGCAUUCACAUUGUCAGGUUCCAUCUGUAAAACUUCAGAACAUACCCUAAUAGCUUCAACAGGCUUCUCGUCCUAAAAGGAAAUGUGAGAAAAGGAUUUAUGGUUGGUAUUCCAUACGUGGAGUUUUCACAUUUCUGGGAACAAGUCAACUGUUACCUUAGAAAAGCAGUGGCAAAUCCUCUCCUUUGAACGAACUGUAUAUUCAACAAUGCUUGGCUCUGUUUUCAUGACAGAUUCGUAUUUGCUGGUAGCAUCUGUGUAUCUAAGAAAUGAGCAAAUCAUGAUAAGAAACAAUGUCAUUUGAUUUCCAGAGUUGCAGAAAGGCCCUUCCCCUCUUCACCAUGUGUUACUUAAUCAAUCCAAUUGGAUGAGUCCCUGGCUUCAGAUUUGGGUUUUCUCUUAUUAAUCUAGAGUCGCCUAGAAGGUACACUCCAUAGUUAAGAGUAAGAAGAUAAAACAAAAGACCACGGAAGAUGCAGAUGGACAGAACAAAGCAUACCUGUGA
Non-coding RNA from Callithrix jacchus (white-tufted-ear marmoset), 18990 nucleotides. Lineage: Eukaryota; Metazoa; Chordata; Mammalia; Primates; Cebidae. The record is from RefSeq and is a predicted model, not a curated record.